This 75-nucleotide transfer RNA is filed under the name Pseudomonadota bacterium. RNAcentral describes it as "tRNA-Gly". It matches the Rfam family "tRNA". From Rfam's summary of the family: Transfer RNA (tRNA) molecules are approximately 80 nucleotides in length. Their secondary structure includes four short double-helical elements and three loops (D, anti-codon, and T loops). Further hydrogen bonds mediate the characteristic L-shaped molecular structure. tRNAs have two regions of fundamental functional importance: the anti-codon, which is responsible for specific mRNA codon recognition, and the 3' end, to which the tRNAs corresponding amino acid is attached (by aminoacyl-tRNA synthetases). tRNAs cope with the degeneracy of the genetic code in two manners: having more than one tRNA (with a specific anti-codon) for a particular amino acid; and 'wobble' base-pairing, i.e. permitting non-standard base-pairing at the 3rd anti-codon position. RNAcentral also lists the same sequence under 2 other names. Lineage: Bacteria; Pseudomonadati; Pseudomonadota. The record is from RNAcentral.
GCGGGAGUAGCUCAGUGGUAGAGCGUCACCUUGCCAAGGUGAAUGUCGUGGGUUCAAAUCCCAUCUCCCGCUCCA